This 534-nucleotide long non-coding RNA is filed under the name Medicago truncatula (barrel medic). Its description in RNAcentral is "long non-coding RNA (MTRU_LNC007867)". The record is from RNAcentral. Lineage: Eukaryota; Viridiplantae; Streptophyta; Magnoliopsida; Fabales; Fabaceae.
UUUGACAUCUCCGGAAAUUUCGACAAAAUUUUGUUUUGUCUCUCCCGGAACAUCUUCCGCGUUCUCUACCAUUACUAUAAUUAUACAACACAUAAAUAUGAAUUAACAACUAACUAAUGCAUAAACAUCAAUGCCAUAAUGAAUUUAAAAAAACAAAACAAAAAAAAACAAAACAAAAAAAAAUUAGAAAAAAUGGCAGUAGCUUGCCAUUUUUUCGUUGUGAAAAUUUUUCACAAGAGUUCCUCGGCACCUUACUACCGAGGUUUUCCUCGGCACUACACUACCGAAGUUUUCCUCGGUAGUUAACUGUCGAGGAUUUCCAUGACAGGGUUCUACGUAACUGACGUAGAAACCCAUAACAUAACCAAAAAAUCAAUCGAAUAAAAUGCACAAUACCUGUUUUUUUACGUCAAAAGUGUGUUGAUACCUCCUAUGCUUGAUGCUUGAAUGAUUUUGGAUCAAGAAUUGAUAAAAAAAAAAAUAUUGGAUUUUGGGAUUGAAUGGAGGUGGAAAUGAAGUUGAUGAUGAAAAUAG